AUUUUCAUGAUUUCAGGCUUUCCACCAGAUUUUGGAACAUGGCUACAGGGAUUUGCUUCCAUUCAGACAUUAGGGCAUUAGU
Molecule: long non-coding RNA, 82 nt
Organism: Etheostoma spectabile (orangethroat darter)
Lineage: Eukaryota; Metazoa; Chordata; Actinopteri; Perciformes; Percidae
Exons: 3
Source: RefSeq, a predicted model, not a curated record